GCCUGGCUACCUCAGUUGGUAGAGCAUGGGACUCUUAAUCCCAGAGUCAGUGGGUUCAAGCCUCACAUUGAGUG
Molecule: transfer RNA, 74 nt
Filed under: Homo sapiens (human)
Lineage: Eukaryota; Metazoa; Chordata; Mammalia; Primates; Hominidae
Description: tRNA-Lys-CTT-16-1
Source: RNAcentral